This is a long non-coding RNA of Daphnia pulicaria, 706 nucleotides long. RefSeq lists it as uncharacterized. Lineage: Eukaryota; Metazoa; Arthropoda; Branchiopoda; Diplostraca; Daphniidae. The record is from RefSeq and is a predicted model, not a curated record. The transcript is spliced from 4 exons.
UCAGCUCCUACCUCGGGACCAUGUUUUGGGACAAUCGUAUCGUCGUCUGCAUGAAGCACUGUCAUCAUCUAGCGGAUGUUUCUAACAAUUCAUACGAUUGUCCAGUUUGCCGCUAGAUGGUAUUGGUAUUGUUUAUAAAAAUGGCGAAAUGUCUGAAGUGUUUUGUCAUCUUCUGUUUUCGAAUUUUCCUGUUUCACUGCCCAAAAUCAACCAAUUAUUUACAUAAAAUGUACCCGCCGUCUAGUCAACAGAUUAAAUUUGGACCCAUUUUAAAAACCAAUUGCUUAACCCUUCUAUGACUCACACGCUCAGCUUCAUCUGCAUGAUCCUCUCACAUCUUAGACAAAACUGCAAGCUGUUAUGCCCAAAAGUUGUGGCAUUGCAUGUAAGGUUAAAGGUUCCUUCUAGCCUGAAAGAUGUUUACACCUUUAAACAUGUUUGGUGGGGUUGUUGCGUCAUGAAAUUGUAUUGCUGCCAUUCCCUGCAUCUCCCACUUCAUAGCUACAAGAAAUGAGCCGAACAACAGAAAAAAGCCUACAACAGAUUGAGGAAUUCAUAGGUUGUGUGGUAUGUCAUUGGAUCCAUUGGAUUUCGCGAGUCAACCACCGAUUUCAAUCUACAGCGCAGUUUCUUUAUUGGAAUUGUGUGGUCCUGGCACAGAGAUCCUUGAUGCUGGCCUUUGUCCAUUACAGAAGAGUGACUUCUA